AGCUAGCACCGGCGCCUCUGCCCCUCCCCUGCUCCGGACCCAGGCUCCCCGCCUUACCCCCCGCCCCCCCAGGGCGCCCCGAGGUCUCACCACGUCUCAGCCGCCCUUUGAUACAUGGGGGUUGUGCGGGGCGGGGGGCAGGGGACCCGCCCUCUCUCCAAACACUAGCAGGGCCGGGGCGCCUGGGCAGGCACGUGUCCGGGCACAACCCGCUGCCCACGCUGCCCCCCCACUCCCGCCCCCCCCGCUCUGGCCAGGACACGUCGCUCUCUUACUUGGGUGGGGUGGGAGGAGGGGAGAGAAAGCUGGAAAUGGAAAGCAGCGCCCCCCACCCCUCUGAAUGGCCAACCUCGGCCAGCGGUGCGCACUAGGUUUCUACCACACAGCGACCCCCACUCUGCUCAGGGCAGGUGCGCCGGCGCCGGCGGCAAGACCGCUGGUAGGUCGAGUUCUUAUCACCCACCCUCGCACUGGAGUUGUGAGAGCAAAAGCUGACUUUGAAAAGGUGGCGGUGGGCCUGAGGCUUGAGAGACCGGAAUGUGAUUGCGGAGCGGGAGGGGCAGAGGGGUCGUCCUGCUGAGCCGCACUACCGCUGGAGAGACGACGCGGCUCUGGAAGCGCAAGAAACCGAAUAGUCCAGCCGGAGUCUUACUAUAUCGCUCCUGCUGUUCUCCACCUCCGGGGAUCAAACUGCCCACGUCAGCUUCCGGAAUCGAAGGGAAGAUAGAUGUGUGUGUGCUACCCACCUGGCAAGCCCUAAAGUUGAGAUGUGGAAACGUGGGUGCACUGAAUGUCUGUUCUACUAAAGAGUGUUGUUCUUCUGACCUUGGGAUGAAUCGCUUCCCUUCUUGGGCCUGUUUAUUCAAGUUAAUGUGAAAUAAUCCCCUUUAACAUUAGUUAUCUUUCCUACUUUUGUUGUAGGGUUGUUUGUUGCUUGGUUCUGAGAUAGGUUUCACCACCACACUCCAGCCUGCCUACUUUUGAAGUUUACUUUUCCUCCUGAGCACACAGACACUCACUCAGGUGUGGAGGUCAGAGGACAGCUUGCACGAGUUGGUUCUCUCUUCCCAUCAUGUGUGUCCUGUCCUGGGGAUUGGAAUGAGGAGGCUUGACAGCAAGUGCCUUCAUCUACUGAGCCAUCUUGCCAACCCUAAAGUAUACUUUAAAAAAUAUACUCAGGAGGCAGAGACAGGCAACUCUUUGAGUUUGAGGCCAGCCUCAUUUACACAGUGAGUGGGACAGAGCUACAGCUUGAGACUUUUAUUUAUUUAUUUAUUUAAAAUGAUUUUCGGGCUGGAGAGAUGGCUUACCAGUUAAGAGCACUGGCUGCUCUUCCAGAGGUCCUGAGUUCAAAUCCCAGCAAUCACAUGAUGGCUCACAACCAUCUGUAAUGGGGUCUGAUGCCUUCCUCUGCUGUGUCUGAAGAAAGCAUACUCGCAUACAUAAAUAAAAUUAUGUAUAUAU
RNAcentral lists this long non-coding RNA (1464 nucleotides) under Mus musculus (house mouse). Its description in RNAcentral is "predicted gene 15417 (Gm15417)". Lineage: Eukaryota; Metazoa; Chordata; Mammalia; Rodentia; Muridae. The record is from RNAcentral.